GGCGCAGUGGUCGAAAGGUAAGGCGUCCGUCUGCAAAGCGGAAUCGUGCCGGUUCGAGUCCGGCCUGCGCCU
This 72-nucleotide transfer RNA is filed under the name Deltaproteobacteria bacterium. RNAcentral's name for it is "tRNA-Cys". It matches the Rfam family "tRNA". From Rfam's summary of the family: Transfer RNA (tRNA) molecules are approximately 80 nucleotides in length. Their secondary structure includes four short double-helical elements and three loops (D, anti-codon, and T loops). The record is from RNAcentral. Lineage: Bacteria; Pseudomonadati; Myxococcota; Myxococcia.